Molecule: long non-coding RNA, 1008 nt
Filed under: Oryza brachyantha (malo sina)
Lineage: Eukaryota; Viridiplantae; Streptophyta; Magnoliopsida; Poales; Poaceae
Description: long non-coding RNA (OBRA_LNC002577)
Source: RNAcentral
UAAAUUGGUAAUUUUGCACAUUCAUUUCAUGUUGGCAUGCACAUGUGGCAGCCUAUGAUGCAGCAGAAAGUGGCAAAAAAAAAGUAGAAAAGCUUCUCUCUCCAAUGGAGUACAAUCCUAAGAAAGGUAUUUGGCUAAUUGUCAAACCUAAAAAUAGCAAAUAGUUAAAUUCUCCAUCCAAACGUGAAGCAGAACCGGAAGCAUGCGGACAAGUCCCCAUCCCCUUCCUCCCUUCCCGCCAUGUGAGCCCCUGCCGGUGAAGAAGAACUACUGGCAAGCGGUGGACAAGUCUUCAGGCCAUGCCAGGUUUGCGGUGCUAUAGGCUUGGACCUUCACUCCUCAUGCGUCCAGGUUGCUCCUAGUCCCUCUUCCGCUUCUGUUGCGUGGGCAUUACCGGGGCUGAUUCUGGCCCGGGCAUUGACAAGAGCACCGCUACAUCGAUCGUUGAUGGUAGGGAAGACUGUUAAUGCCGGAUUUUGAAUAAUUACUGUUGAAGAUUAAACUAUGAUUAAAAACCGAAUCGGAUAAAAAACAAGGCAAUCAAACAGAGGUUAAUAGGUUAAUGGGACUGCAAUUUGGAUUCUACCGAUGGAGUUUGAAUCAGACAGGAGACAGAGUCCGAUUGGACCUAGGGAAGCUUGCGGGUAGAUUCGAGAUUAAUAAGAGUCCGUGUAAACUAGUUUAUCAAUAUUUUAGAGUUUGUUUAGAAUUUUAUCUCCAAUUAGAGUCCGUGUGUAAUAGAUUAGUUAUUAAGUAUGGAUCUAUAUCCGGUUAGGUUAGUUAUUUCUCGGGAUAUAAAUAAGGUAUCCCGUAGCUUUGUAAAAACAAUCAGCAAUUCCAUACACACAUCUUCAGCGCAUCGCCAACUUUUUGAUAGGAGCAAACUCUCGGCGCGAGGUUUGUCAGCUUUGCAAUGUAGUUCGUGUUUGUCAACUCGUCGAUCGGCUAGUUAGGACUUUCUCGAUUUAGUUUAAUCUCCUGCCUAGAUGUUCGACGAUUUACCUGAGA